AGAUUGAACGCUGGCGGCAUGCCUUACACAUGCAAGUCGAAUGGCAGCACGGGGGCAACCCUGGUGGCGAGCGGCGAACGGGUGAGUAACAUAUCGGAACGUGCCCUGGAGUGGGGGAUAACUAGUCGAAAGAUUAGCUAAUACCGCAUACGAUCUAUGGAUGAAAGUGGGGGAUCGCAAGACCUCAUGCUCGUGGAGCGGCCGAUAUCUGAUUAGCUAGUUGGUGAGGUAAUGGCUCACCAAGGCGACGAUCCGUAACUGGUCUGAGAGGAUGAUCAGUCACACCGGAACUGAGACACGGUCCGACUCCUACGGGAGGCAGCAGUGGGGAAUAUUGGACAAGUGGCGCAAGCUG
This 355-nucleotide ribosomal RNA is filed under the name uncultured soil bacterium. RNAcentral describes it as "bacterial SSU rRNA". It matches the Rfam family "Bacterial small subunit ribosomal RNA", at positions 26 to 384 of the family's 1533-position model. The record is from RNAcentral.